AUUAGACAAAAUGCUUCCACUUUUAUAAAAAGAUGAAAAAAAGAUAGAAAACUCUCCAUACAAAAAGUCUAUGUCCCUUUACGUCCAAUUACGCUGGAGCUCUGGGUAAAAUGCUAUAGUGCAUGACCAUCAUUGGGACAUAAGUAAUGUGUGUGCAAACUCAGAAUAGGUAAAGAACCAGCGUUAUAUUGCUUGUCAAGGUCCUACACAAAGUACACUGACAGACUUUUGGAGGAUGAUUUGGCAAUUAAAAUGUAAUACUAUAAUCGCAUUAAACGAUACGAUUACUGCAGGAAAG
RNA transcript from Octopus sinensis (East Asian common octopus), 298 nucleotides. RefSeq lists it as uncharacterized. The record is from RefSeq and is a predicted model, not a curated record. The transcript is spliced from 3 exons. Lineage: Eukaryota; Metazoa; Mollusca; Cephalopoda; Octopoda; Octopodidae.